CAGCAGCCGCGGUAAUACGUAGGUGGCAAGCGUUGUCCGGAAUUAUUGGGCGUAAAGGGCUCGCAGGCGGUUUCUUAAGACUGAUGUGAAAGCCCCCGGCUCAACCGGGGAGGGUCAUUGGAAACUGGGAAACUUGAGUGCAGAAGAGGAGAGUGGAAUUCCACGUGUAGCGGUGAAAUGCGUAGAGAUGUGGUGGAACACCAGUGGCGAAGGCGACUCUCUGGUCUGUAACUGACGCUGAGGAGCGAAAGCGUGGGGAGCGAACAGGAUUAGAUACCCGAGUAGUCCCUGUCUCUUAUAC
RNAcentral lists this ribosomal RNA (301 nucleotides) under uncultured bacterium. RNAcentral's name for it is "partial 16S ribosomal RNA". It matches the Rfam family "Bacterial small subunit ribosomal RNA", at positions 509 to 807 of the family's 1533-position model. The record is from RNAcentral.